This 705-nucleotide long non-coding RNA is filed under the name Heterocephalus glaber (naked mole-rat). RNAcentral's name for it is "lncRNA (ENSHGLG00000035508.1)". Lineage: Eukaryota; Metazoa; Chordata; Mammalia; Rodentia; Bathyergidae. The record is from RNAcentral.
GCCCCAGCCGGAGAGGAAGUUCUGCCGGGCGCUCCGCCGGUGCUUCCCUGUAUAUUGUUGAACAGGAAACAGGGCAGCUCGGAGGCCAGGCGGUGCAGGAGGGAGCGCCGGACGCCGAGCCGCGCGCGCCUGCCGGGACGAGUGGAAGCGAGGCCAGCGGGCAGACGCCCUGAGCUCCCGCGCGCGCUCCACGGCUGCUCUCCACGUCCUGCCCCGCGAUGGGGGCCUAACCUGUGCCCUCGCCAGCACCGUGAGCCCCGCCCAUGGGCUCCCCGAGGCCCGCCCAGCCCAAGUGAGUGCGUGGCGGGAGUCGAGAAAGGGGUCGCGGGGUGGGGCUCUGUCUCGGCUAGCUCCAGAGCCCAGCGUGCUCAGUGCCUCAGUUUACACCCACCCCUUGAAAAGCAGCGUUUGAGAAAGUGAAGGAGGGCCCUGUCUCCCGCACUCCUCGGCUCUUUCCCGGAGUCCUUGGCCUCAGCAAGCGGCCAGCUCCCGGCCGCUGGGGGCAGCCACCUUGUGGGACAGGAGCCAGUACUGUCCAGCGGGAAUCGGAGCCACUUCCGGAGGAGGCCUCGUGUCGCCUAGCUGAAGGCGCGAGCAGGCGCGGCCAGGCUGAGCCGGACAGGCCGCAGCAGGGCACGCGGCGGCUGCAAUGGCGGCUGGCGUCGAGGGCCAAGUGGACGUGCUGGUGGAGCACCCCUUCGAGUA